Molecule: long non-coding RNA, 1846 nt
Organism: Pogona vitticeps (central bearded dragon)
Lineage: Eukaryota; Metazoa; Chordata; Lepidosauria; Squamata; Agamidae
Source: Ensembl
GGGUCCCAAAUAAAGCAUUUGGCCAGAGUUUUGAGUCGCAAAGAGGCCCCUCCCCCUACAGCAAGGGGGGGGCGACGGAACAGGGCUCUGUGGAAAAGGGCAGUCGCCCCAGGGAGUGUCCUGGAUGCUCCCCUACCAAGGUGGACAGGCCUCUCCAUCGCCUCCCUCCUCUUCCUCCUUCAAGAUGCACAUGUCCUGAGCCCCAUAAAUGACAUUUCCUCUUGAGACAGGGUAUGGGGAGGGUGAUCUCCCCAUGCGGCCAUUUAGUUAUACAUGAUGCCACUCUCCCAUGCAGGAAAAUGCAGCAGGGGUGGGUGGGCGGGCGGGCAGGGGGAAGCCCUUGUGUCUGUUUGUGUGGAAUUUCAGUGUGAUCCAUAAUUUUUAAAUUCAGCUCCCAUCGACUUUUCUAGCUUCUCCUCCAGCUAUCGAAUAGACAUCUUUUUUACAUAAAACUUUUGAAGUUCCUAGAUCCUCCCCUUAAUUGUCUCCCUUGAUUAAGGUCAUCUCCCCUUGUUCUAUCUAACGGGUUUUCUGGCUUCCCUUCUGGAUGAGCUGGUGGCCAGAAAUAAGGAAAUAAAUUCCUCUGAAGGGAGGUGUCCUUAAUCCAUUAAGGUGAUUAAGGGAAAGGGAUAGGCUUGUAGACCAAGAAAAUGAAGACUGUAAACAAUAUAGGGACUUAAAAGAAGUUGGAAUAAAAAUAAAUAAUAAUAAAAGCAGCCGGGAGUUGUGCCCGAUUUAUGGCGGCAGAUUGCUCUGCCGAUCCGGGGGUCGUCUUUAAAUGUAUUUUUAAAUAACCGGGGCUCGGCUCUACCCCACUGAACGCCGCGGCUUCAGCCGCAAGGGGCGCGAUCCUGUGGCCUCGGCGCUGCUCCUCUUGCACCGCGCGGUGUCGCUGUUGUUUGCGCAAAGGCGCAAGCGCCGCGGGCGCCCAUUCUCAGGGCGAGGGGGGGAGAGCGGGGAGGGGAGGGGGUUCAAGCCCCCCCCGGGUUGCCAGCUGGGCGGAGAGGGAGGGAGGGCGUCGGAGGGCCGCGCUCCGACUCCAGGGGCCGGGGCUGCGGGCGCGCCGGGCCGGCGAGAGGCGUCUUUCUGCUCGCCCGUCCGUCCGUCCGCCUGCUCGAAGGGCCCCCCCUUGCCCCCGGACUACCCUUGAAGGAGGCCGAGCGCCCCGUGAGACGUCAAGCCGGAUCCUGGCUGAGCCCGGGCUUCUGUGCCUCGCCAAGGGCCCCUCUCUCGCUUCGGCUGCGCCUUCGCCUCCUUCGGCCCCCUUGCGCUGGAGUUAGACGGCUGGGGACAAGCAAACACGCAGCCGUGCAUGAAGCGGUGAUGAUGAUGAUGAAGAAGAUGAAGAACGUGAUAAGGUUCCUUUGUUGCUGUUUUUUGCCUCUCUUUUUCCUCGCCCCACCUUUCAAGACGCAUAGAGCAUGGAUUCUUUCUCUGUGCCAGAAGCCUAGGGUUUCUCCUGAUUGUAACUGAAGAGGAUAACUGCUGUUACUGAACCAAAGUGGAACCGGGAGGAGGACCGGAUGGCAGGAGGCUGAUUGGCUGGCUUGAGCGCCUGCUCUCUGAGCGGGCCAGCGUUUCACAUUUCUCCGUGCUGGCAGGGAAAGGCAUCAGCCGCCGCGCUGCUCUGGAAGGGAUCUGCUGGACUCAUGGACCGACCCUCCGGGAUUUUUCUUCUGGAGCCAAGCGGACCUGACAGUAGCUUCGAGGCUCAUCGUUCGUCCUCUUUUCUUUUCACUUCAAUGGGGAGGAUAUGGGCUUGGCAAGCACCUGUCUUUCACUCCGGCCUCCCUUGCAGGGAGGUUGUGAGAAUAAAAUGGCACCGUGGUGCGGAUUAUUUAUGUGG